CGUUCCCGGGCCUUGUACACACCGCCCGUCACACCAUGGGAGUUGGUUUUACCCGAAGCCGGUCACGCUAACCCGAGAGGGGGCAGCCGACCACGGUAAGGUCAGCGACUGGGGUG
RNAcentral lists this ribosomal RNA (116 nucleotides) under uncultured bacterium. RNAcentral's name for it is "partial 16S ribosomal RNA". It matches the Rfam family "Bacterial small subunit ribosomal RNA", at positions 1369 to 1482 of the family's 1533-position model. The record is from RNAcentral.